CUCUGGCAGAAGUCAAUGGCUCAUUUGAUUGUCUAGCACAAGCAACUCAAUCCUUGCAUAUGGUAGAUAAGAAAUUGCCCUCAGCUCUGGUUUAAGUAUUGCCUUCCAUCUCCAUGGCACUCAUCGUCUACCACUCCUCACUGAGCUCCCUGCAGCCUGCAAUUUAGCACAUGUUCAUGCUGGGGGGAUCUCCAGAGGUCUCUAGCCCAAGCUACUCCAAGCAGGACCAGUGCUCCUCUCAGCCUGCUCAGCACCUGCACCCCGUCCACAUGAGUUUCAGACAAAGCCAGGUCACUGCACAGCUGGAGGCCCAAGGUGUGCGAUGCUGAGCCAGACAGGCAGUAAAUACCUGAGGCCUGAGUCUGCCUGCCUCGCUGACUUCCGUGGGAGUUGCACUGGGGUGUGUUCAGGGUUCAUGCGCACAGCACAACGCGUUUCAGGAAGGGAGGCGGCUCAGGGCCACGCAGCCAUGCUUUGCUAAAGGGAGCCCACCUCCCUGUGGGAGAAGAGCUUCAGAGGAGACAUCAGGGACUUGUCAAAAGAAAUUCCAGCUAAACAUUGGGUAUACUAAGCUGCAGAGAGGAUUUUGAGUUUGCACUGUUUUGCAAGUCUGCAUUUGCUGCCAAAAAAAGGGUUUUUUUACGGAGAGAGAAGCAUGAUGAGGAACUUGAGGAGUCAAGACUGUGUUUCUCACUGCGCAGUUACCUGAGGAAGAGCCAUGAGCAGGGCAGAGCAGAUCUGUCCUGGCUGCCUCCCAGCUGCCCUCCAACGCCAGCACCUGGCCUUGAUUCCAGAGCAGAAACCUGCAGCUCUGGCAGGACAAGACAAAAAGACAACUUAUUUGAUGGUCUGCAUUUCCAAAAGGAAACGCUACUAAAGUGGUUCUACGGCUGGUACCGCAGUGGGAAGCGCCAUGUGUGUGGGUGCCUGGGGAGCCAGGCUCUGCUCCACCAGGCCUUUUUUCAUCUUCCCACGUGCUUACUCACAGCGCCAGAUGCUGCCUCUCCAACCCGGUGGUGCCAACAUGCCGUUCAAUUGCAAGUUAUUGUAAGCCCAGGCUGUGAGGUGAAGAAUGUUUUAGAAGCACGGCUUGAUAAACCUGUGAAAUAAAUACAUACAAAUCCACUAC
RNAcentral lists this long non-coding RNA (1129 nucleotides) under Coturnix japonica (Japanese quail). RNAcentral describes it as "lncRNA (ENSCJPG00005001438.1)". The record is from RNAcentral. Lineage: Eukaryota; Metazoa; Chordata; Aves; Galliformes; Phasianidae.